Xenia sp. Carnegie-2017 is the source of this 601-nucleotide long non-coding RNA. RefSeq lists it as uncharacterized. The record is from RefSeq and is a predicted model, not a curated record. The transcript is spliced from 4 exons. Lineage: Eukaryota; Metazoa; Cnidaria; Anthozoa; Malacalcyonacea; Xeniidae.
AAUGACGGCAUAUGAUGCAAACGAAUUGCUAAGCCUAAAAGGACUUGGGUGAAGAAUUGUGAAAACCCUCAAUAUUUAGCUCGGGAUGAAUGGAUUAGAGGGUAGUUAGCGAUCGUGUGAGCUGGUCUGUUAAGGACUCAAACUUUAAAUUAGGAGUAAGUUAUCGUAUAUGACGGUGGUGUGUAUGCAAAAUCAUUGGAAACCAUUCAAGAAUAGCCUUUGAAACAGAGAAAAGUGUUUUUGUCAUUGUGCGCCAAGACUCUUGAAAGAAGAACAUCAGGGGGAACAUACUCUGUCAAUAUCAAGUUCAAAGUGAAAGAAAAGCAUCGCACCAUAUUAUCUAGGGUCUCACUAUGAUAAUCAAAAGGUAUUUCCAAAACGUCUAUCCUUCCUUUGUCUAUGGAUUCCUUAUUCUUACAAGUUUGAUGAAAGUACAUCCAAUGGUCAAUGCUGGUGAUUUGGGGAAAAUGUGCAACUCGACUCAAACAAACCAGACAAAUUGCACAAGGAAUGAGACUGGUUCUCGUAAUCAAAAUGAUAACAAACCCAAGAACAGUAUCUCGUUUGGUUAUGAAACAUUAAUAACAAUAAUGGUGGUCUC